AUGGAGCAGUCCAGAACUGGCGUGUUGCUGGAGAAGCUGACGGCCACGAACUACAGCAUCUGGUCGGUCCGCAUGCAACACUUCCUCAAGGGUGAGGGCCUGUGGAAAGUGGUGGAAGAGCCACCGCAGCCCCCUGAGGAGGAUGAGGACGACGAUGAAAAGCUGGCACUAGCAGAGGCCCAGCUUGAAAAGGAUGAGAAAGCUUUGGCUACGAUCAUCCUUGGAGUGGACGACAGCCAGCUAGUCUACGUAACUGAUAAGGUGACGGCAAGUGAGGCGUGGAAUGCGCUCAAGGCUGUCCAUGUGCGAGAGACAGCUGGCUCACUGAUAACACUGACCAGGAGACUGUACCGGUGUCGGAAGAAACCGGGGGACUCCCUGGUAAACCACCUAAAAUUCCUAACAGGCUGUUUCCAGGAGCUAGCCUUAAGAGGGAGGCCUGUGGGGGAAGAGGACAAAGUCUUUAUAGUCCUGAGUUCCCUUGAUGACAGCUAUGAUAUGCUGGUCAACUCCCUCGAGUCUGUAGAGACUGAUAAGCUGACUCUGGAAUACGUGACCGGACGGUUGUAUGCGGAGGAGGACAGGCGUGCAGAGCGAAAGAUGACCUCAGCCCAGCUGUUGGAGCAUCCCAGAGGGAACAACAGCCGGGAAGAGCAGAGGUGUCGGGAGCCGGAGAAACAGCCAGGAGGAGCUGCUGCAGACCAGCCAGUGGUCAACAAAGUAAAAAGGUGUUUUUGCUGCAAGUCCAGUGGACAUCUGCUGCGGGACUGCCCGAGAAAGCAACAAAAACAGCAGAAGCACAAGUGGCAGCAGAGGGAGUCUACCGCUUGGGUGUCUGCAGAUGGUCAAGAAAAUGAGGAGCUGUGGGUUCUGGACAGUGGAGCUUCUCAAACCUUUUGUAAAAGAAAAGGAUUGCUAACUGAUGCUAGGGCUUCAAACAAAAAACAUGUAAGUCUUGCUACGGGCCAGAAAGCUAAUGUGGUUUGUGAGGGGGAGGUUGUGUUCCCACAGCUGGGACACACAUUCAGGAAUGUGUUGUGUGUGCCUAAUUUGCAAAACAAUCUCCUGAGCAUUCCUGAUUUGGCAAAAGCAGGCUUUGAAGUAAGUUUUGUGGGAGAUCAGUGCCAGAUAAAGCAAAAUGGGGCAGUGUUGGCAAAUGCUAGCCUUAGAACUAAUAUGUAUGUACUGCAGUGUGAAUCUAAGGUUGCAAAUGUGCAAAAUGUCCCGACCCAUGAUAUGUGUAUUCAUCUCCUGCACAGGCGUCUGGCUCAUGCUAGCUAUAAGGUGCUAAACAAAACAUUGGAGUUGUGUGGGGGGAUGAAAAACAUAAAAAGUUGUGAUAAUUACUUAGACUGCAAUAUCUGCAAGGAGGUUAAAAGCAGGGCUUGCCCAGUAGCAAGAGCAAGCCAGAGAGAAACCAAAAAACCACUGGAGUUGAUUCAUGCUGAUGUAACUGGUCCUUUUCCACCUAGUGUCUCCCACAACAAAUACUGUUUGAUCCUAGUGGAUGACUAUUCUAGAUUUGGCUGGGUCUAUCCAUUAAAGCAAAAGUCUGACGUUGCCCAAACUUUGAAGUUCUGGGUAAGAAGGGUAGAAAGGCAACUUGGUGAAAAGGUGUCCUCUAUUCAAUCAGACAGGGGAGGGGAGUUUAUGGCAAGCUCCCUAAGAAACUGGUUGCGUACCCAAGGGAUUAAACAUAGGCUUACCAAUGUGGCCACGCCUCAGGAGAACGGAGUAGCAGAGCGUAGGGGAGGUGUCUUGCAGACACAAAUGAAAGCAUUGUUAGCAGAUGCAAAUCUUCCAAUUAAGUACUGGGCUGAAAGUAUUAAGACCGCAAAUUAUAUUGGGAAUCGCUUGUGGUCAAGGGUACUAGAUGAUAUACCCUAUAAAAUUCUCUAUAACAAAAGUCCCAGUUUGCAACAUUUAAGAAUCUUUGGGACAAAGGCAUGGGUUGACAUACCUGUGAAAAACCGAAGAAAAGGUGGGAAAAGGGCACAGCAGUUGCUAUUUCUUGGGUAUGAAAGUGGUACGAAAGCCUACAGGUUUGAAGAUGAUAAAAACCUUUUGAGUUAUAGUCGAUCAGCCAGCUUUAAUGAGCAAAGAAAUUGGCCCAAGAUACAUGCAAACCUGCUGCCAGAAAAAGUUUUACUGCCGAGCAUACCUGAUAAGGCAGUUGAAACAAAGCUAAGAAUUGGCAGCUCUCCCAGAGAAACUGAAAGGGAGGAGGUAAAGGUUGAGCAUUUUUCUCCAGCUGCUAGCAUGGAGCAGGGGAGAGAAGAAAGUGCAACAGGGACAGGAGGAGGUAGAUCUCCAGAGUCAAUCCACCCCAAAAGCAGUCCUGAAAGUAGCCCAGGGGGUGAGAUUAAUGAACCAAGGAGGUCUGCAAGAAGUAAUAAAGGUCAACCUCCAGACCGUUAUGGGUUCCCAGCCACCAUAAACCAGGUUUGUGUAACUGAGCCAGAAAACUUUGAAGAAGUGCAAGAGUUACCUACUCUAGAGAAAGAGGCGUGGUUAAAGGCAAUGCAGGCAGAGUAUAACUCUCUGCUAAACAACAAUGUCUUUGUGCCUACAGAAUUGCCUGAAGGUAAAAAGCCCAUAAGCUGUAAGUGGGUUUUUAAAGUGAAAAAGCUGGCUGAUGGUAGUUGUCAGAGGAAAGCCAGGUUGGUUGCACGGGGCUUUACACAGAGGAAAAUGAUACAUUAUGAUGAAGUGUUUGCCCCAACAGCAAAGGCUGAAACAGUAAAAUCAGUUUUAGCAAUGGCAAGUCUGAGAGGGUUAAAAGUUAAUCAUUUUGAUGUUGCCUCAGCAUAUUUAAAUGCUCCUAUUGAUGCCGAGGUAUAUUUACAGCAAAUACCAGGUUAUGAGCUGGAAAAAGACAGCAUGGUGUUAAAACUGCAAAGGGCACUAUACGGUUUACACCAAAGUGCACGUCUAUGGCAUGAAUGCAUAGACACAACUUUGAAAAAGAUGGGAUUCAAACAAAGCCUGGCUGAUUCCUGUUUAUAUUCAGCAAUGGUGCAAGGAAGUGUUUGUUAUUUACUUUUGUAUGUUGACGAUAUUUGUCUAAUAACAACUGCACAAAAGCAAGUGUCUUGGUUUAUAAACAGCCUAGGUAACAAAUACAAACUGAAGUAUUUGGGAGAGAUUAAGAAUUACUUAGGAGUAGAGGUUCAGAGAAAUGAAGAGGGCGUUUACUCUCUGAGUCAGAAGGAAAAAAUCGAAAAGUUACUGAAGACAUAUGGAAUGGAGAGGGCAAAUGAGGUUGACACUCCCAUAACUACCCAGUACAAAAAUGAACCAGAAGGGCAAAAAUGUGAGAAUGCAACAGCGUUUCAUUCUCUGUUGGGUUCGCUGUUAUAUUUAAGUUGUUGGACAAGACCCGACAUAACAUUGGCAGUGCACAUGUUAAGCCAAAGAAGUGCAGACCCGGCUCAGAGAGAUUGGGUAGCACUUAAAAGAAUCCUAAGGUAUCUGAAAGGCACAAAAGAUUACAAACUGGUGCUGGAUACAGGACAUGAUCAGCAAGUGUAUGCAUACGCUGAUGCCAGCUGGGGAGACAGAGAGAAUGGAAAGUCUACCACUGGCUAUGCCAUAUAUAUUGGAAAUGCCCUGGUUCAGUGGAAAUCCCAGAAACAAACAUUUGUUGCCACAAGUACUUGUGAAGCAGAGUACUCAGCCAUAAGCGAAUGUGUAUCACAAAUAGAGUGGUUUGCUUGCCUAACAAAAGAGCUUGGAAUACCUUCUGAAAUGCCAAUCACUGUGCUAAGUGACAACAUGGCUGCACAACAGCUUGCCAACCAACAGAACUUUAAGAGCAAGAGUAAACAUAUUGCGAUAAGAUACGGAAAUGUGAAAAAUGCUUUGGAAAGAAAUGUGUUAAAGGUACAGCACUGUAACACAAAAUGUAAUGUGGCAGAUUUGUAUACAAAAUGUUUGGAUGCUCCUAAAUUUCGAGACUUAAGAGAAUUAUUGGGUCUCAAGCCUUUGACUUAA
Podarcis muralis (Common wall lizard) is the source of this 3993-nucleotide long non-coding RNA. The record is from Ensembl. Lineage: Eukaryota; Metazoa; Chordata; Lepidosauria; Squamata; Lacertidae.